RNAcentral lists this ribosomal RNA (445 nucleotides) under uncultured bacterium. Its description in RNAcentral is "partial 16S ribosomal RNA". It matches the Rfam family "Bacterial small subunit ribosomal RNA", at positions 354 to 796 of the family's 1533-position model. The record is from RNAcentral.
GUGAGGAAUAUUGCGCAAUGGAGGCAACUCUGAACCAGCCAUGCCGCGUGCAGGAAGACGGCCCUCUGGGUUGUAAACUGCUUUUAUCCGGGAAUAAACCUGCCUUCGUGAAGGUAGCUGAAUGUACCGGAAGAAUAAGGAUCGGCUAACUCCGUGCCAGCAGCCGCGGUAAUACGGAGGAUCCAAGCGUUAUCCGGAUUUAUUGGGUUUAAAGGGUGCGUAGGCGGCCUGUUAAGUCAGGGGUGAAAGACGGUGGCUCAACCAUCGCAGUGCCAUUGAUACUGAUGGGCUUGAAUGGACUAGAGGUAGGCGGAAUGUGACAAGUAGCGGUGAAAUGCAUAGAUAUGUCACAGAACACCGAUUGCGAAGGCAGCUUACUAUGGUCCUAUUGACGCUGAGGCACGAAAGCGUGGGGAUCGAACAGGAUUAGAUACCCCAGUAGUCC